Molecule: ribosomal RNA, 492 nt
Filed under: uncultured bacterium
Lineage: Bacteria
Description: partial 16S ribosomal RNA
Rfam family: Bacterial small subunit ribosomal RNA
Source: RNAcentral
AUUGAACGCUGGCGGCAUGCUUUACACAUGCCAGUCGAACGGUAACAGGCCUUCGGGUGCUGACGAGUGGCGAACGGGUGAGUAAUGCAUCGGAACGUACCCAGAGGUGGGGGAUAACGCAGCGAAAGCUGUGCUAAUACCGCAUGUGAUCUGAGGAUGAAAGCGGGGGACCGAGCAGCAAUGUUUGGCCUCGCGCCUUUGGAGCGGCCGAUGUCGGAUUAGCUAGUUGGUGGGGUAAAGGCCUACCAAGGCGACGAUCCGUAGCUGGUCUGAGAGGACGACCAGCCACACUGGGACUGAGACACGGCCCAGACUCCUACGGGAGGCAGCAGUGGGGAAUUUUGGACAAUGGGCGCGAGCCUGAUCCAGCAAUGCCGCGUGCGGGAAGAAGGCCUUCGGGUUGUAAACCGCUUUUGGCAGGAACGAAACGGUGUCCGCUAAUACCGGGCGCUAAUGACGGUACCUGCAGAAUAAGCACCGGCUAACUACGUG